Non-coding RNA from Paramuricea clavata, 845 nucleotides. Lineage: Eukaryota; Metazoa; Cnidaria; Anthozoa; Malacalcyonacea; Plexauridae. The record is from the annotation of a GenBank genome assembly.
CAUUACCCAUGACAAACCGCAAAGAAUCGUAUUACCCAUAUACGCCUUCGCCCAUUUAGUUCUUCUAAAUUGUAAGCAAAUUAAUUGUAAAUUUCGACGUGCUAAAACUCUGUUUUCUGACCAUCAGAAUUCUGUCAAAACUUCCCCCAAAGUCCACGAAAUGGCAUUUCAGAGACUCUAAAUUUAAAAAUUUCCUCGGGCCUUCGGCCCUCGCCACUCCCUAUCAAAAAGAAUUUCCUACGGAACUGCACGCUUCUGUGCGGAACUGCACGCUUCUGUAAUGUCUGUGCGUAAAAUAUGAGUAUUUUUGUUUGUAAAUUGCGUUUUCAUUUUCCGGAUAGCAAACACCUUCGUGGCUUCGUAUGCCAUGAAAUAUUCGGAAAUUUUUUUCGUCAUUCGGAAAUUUUUGGCCUACACCCCCCCCCCCCAACUAGCAUGCUUAGCUACGGCCCUGCCAGGCGUUUUCCUCUUUAUCUAGCCUACAUUUGUUUUGUGACUCUUACGGCAUGCAGCUAGAGCAAAUACCUGUAAAACAAUAAAGACUAUGGAUUAUAAUAAUGCAAUCGAUUUGCGGAGAUCUGGACAAGUAUGAAUACAACUGACACUCAGCCGAAAAACAUUGUUACGUAAAACAUUCCGACAUUCUCUAGCGAGAAUCAGUGAUACUUCAGAAACGAUUUCUCCAGAAAUGUACAACCUUUCGAGGUGUCCCCGCACACUAUCAUUGCAUGAAGAAAGCCAAAAUAUCUCACUCAGCCCUCGAGAGUCUCCACAUAGUUUUGGGUCUCUCUCACUUAAAAAGCAUUUGCCAGACAUGGUUAAAGAGAAUAAAGGAAAAGCAUGCC